Molecule: ribosomal RNA, 2601 nt
Filed under: Quercus suber
Lineage: Eukaryota; Viridiplantae; Streptophyta; Magnoliopsida; Fagales; Fagaceae
Description: bacterial LSU rRNA
Rfam family: Bacterial large subunit ribosomal RNA
Source: RNAcentral
GUAAGAUAAAAAGUAUAUUAUAUUCGAUACAAUCGUAUCAAAGUAUAAAAAGAAAUUAUUAUGAAUUAUAUUGCUAUAAACCAAAGGUUGAUUUAUUCGCAAGAAUAUAGAACCUAAGAGAAAUCUAAUAACUAAACAAAGUGAACUGAAAAAUCUAAGUAACUUUAGGAAAAAAAAAUCAAACGAGAUUCUACAAAAAAUGUGAAGUAAGGUAGAUUUAAUGCUAUGAAAAAAAUAAUAGGAGUAAAUCGGCGUAAUCCCGGGAUAAAGAAAAGUUUUUUGCUUGUCUAGCAUCCGGCAUAAUCCCGGAAAAAGAAUAUAGAAAAGCUUUACGAUGGGCGUAACAAAAAAACAAAGAUAUUAACAUAAUAGAAGUCAUCCGGCUUAAUCCCGGACGAAUAUAAAAGUUAAUGUCAAUGUUUUGUUAACAUAUCUUAAGUAAAACGGAUUUUCUGUUUGAAUAAAGGGGAACCUUCCUCUAAAGCUAAAUAUGGUUUUAUACGCGAUAGUGAAUAGUACCGUGAGGGAAUAUAUUUAAUAGUAGUUUUAUAAGCAGCUUUAGAAAAAUUUAAAUAAAAAACAAAAGCGUACCUUUUGCAUAAUGGGUCAGCAAGUUAAUGUUAGAUGCAAGCAUAAAGUUUGCCUAGAGAAAUCGAUUAUGAAAUAAUGAAAAAGUAUCUAAUAUUAGACCCGGAGAUUAGUGAUCUUACCAUGAUCAGGAUUAUAAAAGUCCGAACGGGUUAUCGUUGUAUAGAUAUCCGAAGAAUUGUGGUAAGUAAGUGAAAGACAAAACUGACUAAUUUAGCUGGUUUUCCGCGAAACCUAUAUAAGUAGGUAAUUUAAAUAACAUCUUAGCAGGUACAGAACUGUGAUCUCGAUCGAAAUCAUCAAAAAAAAAAUGAUGAAUUUGAAGACAUCGGGGGAUCGUAAAGAUUUUACCGGAGAGUAUUUGCACUCGGAAGGGUUAAGAUGAAUAUUAAAUAAUCGGACAUAGUACGAUAAGGUUGUAUGUCUAAAGGGAAACAGCCCAGAACAAGAGUUAAUAAGGUUCCAAAAUUAUUGUUGAGUGAAAUAAAGGAUGUGUCUUUUAAUACAAUCAGGAAAUAGGCUUAGAAGCGGCCAUUUUUUGAAGAUCUCGUAACAGAGCACUGAUUAAAGUAGAGGAUCACACCGAAAAUAUAACGGAUCUAAACAAUAUACCGAAACCUUGUCCAUAUAUAUAUUAAUAUAAAUGGGGUAGCGGAACAUUGGAUAAAUCUAAGAUUUAUUCUUUAUAAGAUUAAAAAAUAAGAUAUUCCAAGAGAGAAUGCUGAUAUGAGUAACGAAAAAGAAAUUUUUAAUAUAUUGCUCGCCUAAAGCUUAUGGUAAAUUCAAUAAAAUUUACGGCCUCUAACUAAAAAACAGGAAGAGACUGGGAAGCUAAAAAGACUAAUUAAUAGUUAAAUUAGUUCAGGAAAAUUAGUGGAAAUAAACCGUACCUAGAAAACUACCACAAGUAAGCUAGUAGAGAAUACGAAGGCGUUUGAGUAAUCAAUCAUUAAGGAACUCGGCAAAUUGACUCACGUAACUUCGGGAUAAGGUGGGCCAUUCUUAUCAGGUAUAUUAAGUGUAGAAAUGCUUAAUACAAAAUAAUUUGUAAUUAAUAUACCGAAAGAAAAGGAAGCAUGGAAUAGUGUUGUACGACUGUUUAAUUAAAACACAGCACUCUGCAAAGAUAAUAUCGAAAUAUUGAGUGUGAUGUCUGCCCGGUGUCGGCUGGGUAACGGAUUUGCUUAGAAAUAAAAAGCUAGGCUUUGAAGGAAACCCCGAUAAACGGCGGCCUUACCGAUGAGGGUCCUAAGGUAGCGGAAUACCCUGGCCGUUAAAUGCGGUCUUGCAUGAAUGAUGUAACGAUACAACAGCUGUCUCGAUGAUUGGCUCAGUGAAAUUGGAAUAGCAGUGCAGAUACUGUUUACCUCUAGAUAGACGAGAAGACCCUAUGCAGCUUUACUGUUACCAAUUUGGGCUGUAUUAUAAGAAUUAUAAGAGUAUAAGGUAGAUUUUCUUCGAAGUUAGAAUAAAUUCAUUUAUUCUGCUUUGGGGUGCUUAUUAUUAGUUUAGCAUUUAUCACAAAUGAGACACCUUUAUUUACUUUAUUACAGUCAUUUGAUUGGAAGACAGUUUAUGCGGGGCACAGAUCCCAUAAAAAGUACCUGGGUAUAUCCAAAAUUCUAAUCGUAAAAAUGUACGUUUUGUACAUAAUAUAACAAAUAAAUUAUUUAUUUGUUGUGUUUAAAUUUAAUUUGUUAUUAUUUAUAAUAAUAUUUAUUCAGUUACUGUCGUUUUAAAUACUUUUAUAUAUUUUAUAUAAGUAAGAUUUUAACUAUAUGGUGAAUAGUUGUAAAAAAACAGAAAUAUACUGCUUCGCACAAUAUAGAUGUUUUUAGUUGUAACAUAUUUUGUUCAACAUAAAUAUGUUAUGAUAUUUAAUAUUACUGUAAAAGUUUAAUGGCUUAAUCUUGCUUUACUGUCAGACCUACAAGUCCAUCAGUCGCGUAAGCGGGGCAUAUGAUCGCAAGAUACGGAAAGGAAAGGUCUUGGAUUUUUGAAAAAGUUACGCUA